Drosophila subpulchrella is the source of this 230-nucleotide long non-coding RNA. RefSeq lists it as uncharacterized. The record is from RefSeq and is a predicted model, not a curated record. Lineage: Eukaryota; Metazoa; Arthropoda; Insecta; Diptera; Drosophilidae. The transcript has 3 exons.
UUUUAAUCCAUUUAAGUAUUGAGAUAGACACACUCAUAUGGAAUCUAAGGAACUAGGCAGCGAAUCUAAUUAUGAUGAAAAAUCGAUCCAAUAACUAGUAUUGAGCAGUCCUGACAAGCCUAUAACAGUGGAACCCAACAUAUAUUAUCCAAUUCCCUUUGGCAAACCCACCAAGUACGACCGCGUCUCAUCGUUGGGAUCGCCGCCCUUGUGCUCGCACUCGUGGAGCA